Molecule: ribosomal RNA, 497 nt
Filed under: uncultured bacterium
Lineage: Bacteria
Description: partial 16S ribosomal RNA
Rfam family: Bacterial small subunit ribosomal RNA
Source: RNAcentral
GAUGAACGCUGGCGGCGUGCCUAAUACAUGCAAGUCGAGCGAACAGACGAGGAGCUUGCUCCUCUGACGUUAGCGGCGGACGGGUGAGUAACACGUGGAUAACCUACCUAUAAGACUGGGAUAACUUCGGGAAACCGGAGCUAAUACCGGAUAAUAUAUUGAACCGCAUGGUUCAAUAGUGAAAGACGGUUUUGCUGUCACUUAUAGAUGGAUCCGCGCCGCAUUAGCUAGUUGGUAAGGUAACGGCUUACCAAGGCAACGAUGCGUAGCCGACCUGAGAGGGUGAACGGCCACACUGGAACUGAGACACGGUCCAGACUCCUACGGGAGGCAGCAGUAGGGAAUCUUCCGCGAUGGGCGAAAGCCUGACGGAGCAACGCCGCGUGAGUGAUGAAGGUCUUCGGAUCGUAAAACUCUGUUAUUAGGGAAGAACAAAUGUGCAAGUAACUAUGCACGUCUUGACGGUACCUAAUCAGAAAGCCACGGCUAACUACGUG